Lolium perenne is the source of this 391-nucleotide non-coding RNA. The record is from RefSeq and is a predicted model, not a curated record. NCBI's taxonomy places the organism in Eukaryota, Viridiplantae, Streptophyta, Magnoliopsida, Poales, Poaceae.
GUUUGAAUAGUUCACUGUUGUAACUAUGUUGCAAUAUUACUAGAAUGCAGGUGUAAUGAAGAAGUCCUUAGUAGAAGAUAGAGCGCAAAAAAGGUUCCGGGGUGAGCCUAUGCAACGAUAUAAUAAUGCAGUUGUGAUGAAGCAAUCUUCAUCAGAAGAGAGGCCCACAAAAAGUUCUGAUCUUUCUUCUAAUGCAUCCUCUCAUAGCCGUCAACCUAGACCAUUCCUUUCAUCAAACAGUAAAUAUCUCAAGGCUGUACUUUAUAAAAGACAUGGUAUUGCUGCUUUAAGAUCUGUAGCUGAUAUGUUGACCAAGAGUACACAAGAUUCAAUCAAGGCGAUUGCCAAAUGUCAACGUGUUAUUGAUGAUGCUAAUAGAAGUCCUCAAUGA